This 710-nucleotide ribosomal RNA is filed under the name Faecalibacterium prausnitzii. Its description in RNAcentral is "bacterial SSU rRNA". It matches the Rfam family "Bacterial small subunit ribosomal RNA", at positions 426 to 1162 of the family's 1533-position model. Lineage: Bacteria; Bacillati; Bacillota; Clostridia; Eubacteriales; Oscillospiraceae. The record is from RNAcentral.
UAAACUCCUGUUGUUGAGGAAGAUAAUGACGGUACUCAACAAGGAAGUGACGGCUAACUACGUGCCAGCAGCCGCGGUAAAACGUAGGUCACAAGCGUUGUCCGGAAUUACUGGGUGUAAAGGGAGCGCAGGCGGGAAGACAAGUUGGAAGUGAAAUCCAUGGGCUCAACCCAUGAACUGCUUUCAAAACUGUUUUUCUUGAGUAGUGCAGAGGUAGGCGGAAUUCCCGGUGUAGCGGUGGAAUGCGUAGAUAUCGGGAGGAACACCAGUGGCGAAGGCGGCCUACUGGGCACCAACUGACGCUGAGGCUCGAAAGUGUGGGUAGCAAACAGGAUUAGAUACCCUGGUAGUCCACACCGUAAACGAUGAUUACUAGGUGUUGGAGGAUUGACCCCUUCAGUGCCGCAGUUAACACAAUAAGUAAUCCACCUGGGGAGUACGACCGCAAGGUUGAAACUCAAAGGAAUUGACGGGGGCCCGCACAAGCAGUGGAGUAUGUGGUUUAAUUCGACGCAACGCGAAGAACCUUACCAAGUCUUGACAUCCUGCGACGAUGCUAGAAAYAGUAUUUUYCUUCGGRRCACAGAGACAGGUGGUGCAUGGUUGUCGUCAGCUCGUGUCGUGAGAUGUUGGGUUAAGUCCCGCAACGAGCGCAACCCUUAUGGUCAGUUACUACGCAAGAGGACUCUGGCCAGACUGCCGUUGACAAA